AGUGAACGCUGGCGGUAGGCCUAACACAUGCAAGUCGAACGGCAGCACAGUAAGAGCUUGCUCUUACGGGAGGCGAGUGGCGGACGGGUGAGGAAUACAUCGGAAUCUACUUUUUCGUGGGGGAUAACGUAGGGAAACUUACGCUAAUACCGCAUACGACCUACGGGUGAAAGCAGGGGAUCUUCGGACCUUGCGCGAUUGAAUGAGCCGAUGUCGGAUUAGCUAGUUGGCGGGGUAAAGGCCCACCAAGGCGACGAUCCGUAGCUGGUCUGAGAGGAUGAUCAGCCACACUGGAACUGAGACACGGUCCAGACUCCUACAGGAGGCAGCAGUGGGGAAUAUUGGACAAUGGGCGCAAGCCUGAUCCAGCCAUACCGCGUGGGUGAAGAAGGCCUUCGGGUUGUAAAGCCCUUUUGUUGGGAAAGAAAAGCAGCAGGUUAAUACCCCGCUGUUCUGACGGUACCCAAAGAAUAAGCACCGGCUAACUUCGUG
RNAcentral lists this ribosomal RNA (492 nucleotides) under uncultured bacterium. Its description in RNAcentral is "partial 16S ribosomal RNA". It matches the Rfam family "Bacterial small subunit ribosomal RNA", at positions 29 to 507 of the family's 1533-position model. The record is from RNAcentral.